AGGUAAUGCACCAUAACGUUGGAUGCCAACCGCCAUUAAACUCCACUGAAGAAGAAGAAGACCUCUGCGCAGCCUGCUUUCUCGAACACGUCGGUCAACAUUACAACAGUUGGGACAGAGCGCCCGGUAGGCUACACAACAACACAAAAAUAAAUAAUUUUGUAAGUAAAGCGGGGGUUUGUUUGAUAGAAGAAUGUCAAGGAAAGAUUUGCUAGCUAAUGUUAGCUAACUUAACUAGGUAAUUUUAACAUUAGCUAACUAACGUUAGCUCUCUGGCUAAUCAUCCAUGGACAUGGAAUCUUCUAGCUUGGAUGGGAGGAGGGAACAAAGGGAAGGGGUACUGAAGUUAUCCAGCCUGCUGACUAAGAAAUUUCCGGAAACAUGUCAGUGACCUGAUGCAUGGCCUCUACAGCAGUGCUUGUCCACCCACUCAGUUACCAGUGACCUAUUCUGCCACAUCCCAGGGAAAGUAGAGAGCAGAACCACCUCUCCUUAAAUCCAUAGUCAUUAACCAUGUUUCCAUCCACAGUUUUUAUGCAUGUCAUACCUUAUAAAAAAAAGUCAAGACGCAUUUAUGCGCAAAUAUUGAUAUAAGAACCAUCAUAUCGAAGUAAACUUGGGAGGCACACGAUGAUAUGGCGGGUGGUCCUCCCACUACGACUCGGGAAAGCGUGCAGUUUAUUAGGCUACAGAUGAAAUAAGUUAUG
Molecule: long non-coding RNA, 707 nt
Organism: Coregonus clupeaformis (lake whitefish)
Lineage: Eukaryota; Metazoa; Chordata; Actinopteri; Salmoniformes; Salmonidae
Exons: 3
Source: RefSeq, a predicted model, not a curated record